RNAcentral lists this ribosomal RNA (379 nucleotides) under Vibrio parahaemolyticus. RNAcentral's name for it is "bacterial SSU rRNA". It matches the Rfam family "Bacterial small subunit ribosomal RNA", at positions 237 to 608 of the family's 1533-position model. The record is from RNAcentral. Lineage: Bacteria; Pseudomonadati; Pseudomonadota; Gammaproteobacteria; Vibrionales; Vibrionaceae.
GGGAUUAGCUAGUUGGUGAGGUAAGGGCUCACCAAGGCGACGAUCCCUAGCUGGUCUGAGAGGAUGAUCAGCCACACUGGAACUGAGACACGGUCCAGACUCCUACGGGAGGCAGCAGUGGGGAAUAUUGCACAAUGGGCGCAAGCCUGAUGCAGCCAUGCCGCGUGUGUGAAGAAGGCCUUCGGGUUGUAAAGCACUUUCAGUCGUGAGGAAGGUAGUGUAGUUAAUAGCUGCAUUAUUUGACGUUAGCGACAGAAGAAGCACCGGCUAACUCCGUGCCAGCAGCCGCGGUAAUACGGAGGGUGCGAGCGUUAAUCGGAAUUACUGGGCGUAAAGCGCAUGCAGGUGGUUUGUUAAGUCAGAUGUGAAAGCCCGGGGC